This 468-nucleotide ribosomal RNA is filed under the name uncultured bacterium. Its description in RNAcentral is "partial 16S ribosomal RNA". It matches the Rfam family "Bacterial small subunit ribosomal RNA", at positions 28 to 507 of the family's 1533-position model. The record is from RNAcentral.
GACGAACGCUGGCGGCGUGCUUAACACAUGCAAGUCGAACGGAAAGGCCCUGCUUUUGUGGGGUGCUCGAGUGGCGAACGGGUGAGUAACACGUGAGUAACCUGCCCUUGACUUUGGGAUAACUUCAGGAAACUGGGGCUAAUACCGGAUAGGAGCUCCUGCUGCAUGGUGGGGGUUGGAAAGUUUCGGCGGGUGGGGAUGGACUCGCGGCUUAUCAGCUUGUUGGUGGGGGAGUGGCUUACCAAGGCUUUGACGGGUAGCCGGCCUGAGAGGGUGACCGGGCACAAUGGGACUGAGAUACGGCGCAGACUCCUACGGGAGGCAGCAGUGGGGAAUAUUGCACAAUGGGCGGAAGCCUGAUGCAGCAACGCCGCGUGCGGGAUGACGGCCUUGGGGUGGUAAACCGCUGUCGCCUGUGACGAAGCGUGAGUGACGGUAAUGGGUAAAGAAGCACCGGCUAACUACGUG